This 1593-nucleotide ribosomal RNA is filed under the name Bacteroides stercoris. RNAcentral describes it as "bacterial SSU rRNA". It matches the Rfam family "Bacterial small subunit ribosomal RNA". Lineage: Bacteria; Pseudomonadati; Bacteroidota; Bacteroidia; Bacteroidales; Bacteroidaceae. The record is from RNAcentral.
CUUUUACAAUGAAGAGUUUGAUCCUGGCUCAGGAUGAACGCUAGCUACAGGCUUAACACAUGCAAGUCGAGGGGCAGCAUCAUCAAAGCUUGCUUUGAUGGAUGGCGACCGGCGCACGGGUGAGUAACACGUAUCCAACCUGCCGACAACACUGGGAUAGCCUUUCGAAAGAAAGAUUAAUACCGGAUGGCAUAAUUAUUCCGCAUGGGAUAAUUAUUAAAGAAUUUCGGUUGUCGAUGGGGAUGCGUUCCAUUAGGCAGUUGGCGGGGUAACGGCCCACCAAACCAACGAUGGAUAGGGGUUCUGAGAGGAAGGUCCCCCACAUUGGAACUGAGACACGGUCCAAACUCCUACGGGAGGCAGCAGUGAGGAAUAUUGGUCAAUGGACGAGAGUCUGAACCAGCCAAGUAGCGUGAAGGAUGACUGCCCUAUGGGUUGUAAACUUCUUUUAUACGGGAAUAAAGUUAGCCACGUGUGGCUUUUUGUAUGUACCGUAUGAAUAAGGAUCGGCUAACUCCGUGCCAGCAGCCGCGGUAAUACGGAGGAUCCGAGCGUUAUCCGGAUUUAUUGGGUUUAAAGGGAGCGUAGGCGGGUUGUUAAGUCAGUUGUGAAAGUUUGCGGCUCAACCGUAAAAUUGCAGUUGAUACUGGCGACCUUGAGUGCAACAGAGGUAGGCGGAAUUCGUGGUGUAGCGGUGAAAUGCUUAGAUAUCACGAAGAACUCCGAUUGCGAAGGCAGCUUACUGGAUUGUAACUGACGCUGAUGCUCGAAAGUGUGGGUAUCAAACAGGAUUAGAUACCCUGGUAGUCCACACAGUAAACGAUGAAUACUCGCUGUUGGCGAUAUACAGUCAGCGGCCAAGCGAAAGCAUUAAGUAUUCCACCUGGGGAGUACGCCGGCAACGGUGAAACUCAAAGGAAUUGACGGGGGCCCGCACAAGCGGAGGAACAUGUGGUUUAAUUCGAUGAUACGCGAGGAACCUUACCCGGGCUUAAAUUGCAACUGACGGAACCGGAAACGGUUCUUUCUUCGGACAGUUGUGAAGGUGCUGCAUGGUUGUCGUCAGCUCGUGCCGUGAGGUGUCGGCUUAAGUGCCAUAACGAGCGCAACCCUUAUCGAUAGUUACUAGCAGGUCAUGCUGAGGACUCUAUUGAGACUGCCGUCGUAAGAUGUGAGGAAGGUGGGGAUGACGUCAAAUCAGNNNNNNNNNNGAGACUGCCGUCGUAAGAUGUGAGGAAGGUGGGGAUGACGUCAAAUCAGCACGGCCCUUACGUCCGGGGCUACACACGUGUUACAAUGGGGGGUACAGAAGGCAGCUACACGGCGACGUGGUGCUAAUCCCGAAAGCCUCUCUCAGUUCGGAUUGGAGUCUGCAACCCGACUCCAUGAAGCUGGAUUCGCUAGUAAUCGCGCAUCAGCCACGGCGCGGUGAAUACGUUCCCGGGCCUUGUACACACCGCCCGUCAAGCCAUGAAAGCCGGGGGUACCUGAAGUACGUAACCGCGAGGAGCGUCCUAGGGUAAAACUGGUGAUUGGGGCUAAGUCGUAACAAGGUAGCCGUACCGGAAGGUGCGGCUGGAACACCUCCUUUCU